CUGACCUCAAGAUCCGCCCGCCUCGGCCUCCGAAAGUGCUGGGAUUACAGGCGUGAGCCACUGCGCCCGGCCUAUCUAAACUUAAUAAUAUCUUUGUAUUAACCACCAUACUCCAACACCACCAUUAUUUUCUUUCUGAAUUAUGUGGCAGUGCAAAACAUUACAACCACACUGAAAAAAAAAUCCGGCAGUUUGGUAGAGAAAGAAAGCGUAAAAUCAAUCAAUUUAACAUAUAGUUAAAGAUUGUCUAGAGUGAGCAAAACUGAGGUUCUAUUUCCAUUAAUGAAGGUAUAUAUUCUAAUAAAACUGCAUGCCCUCACCCACAGAUCCAACAUUAGAAACCUUGGACAAAAUGUAAAAAUCAAACCUGAAGGCACUAGAAAGUGACAAGCAAUCAGAAUAUUCAGGGUAAUAGACACUUAGAAAAAGACAACAGUAUUGGGGGAGUUUCCUGUUUCUGUGGCUUUUCACUUGAAGGCAGACCUCAGUUGUUACUGGGUAGAACACUAAAAACUCAGUUAACAAUAUAUGUACUUGCUGCUUUGAAAAACAAGAAUGAGCCGGACGCAGUGGCUUACGCUUGUAAUCCCAGCACUUUGGGAGGCUGAGGUGGGCAGAUCACAAGAUCAGGAUUUCGAGACCAGCUAGGCCAAUAUGGUGAAACCCCGUCUCUACUAAAAACACAAAAAUUAGCCGGGCAUGGUGGUGGGCGCCUGUAGUCCCAGCUACUCAGGAGGCUGAGGCAGGAGAAUCGCUUGAACCCAGGAGGCAGAGGUUGCAGUGAGCCGAGAUCUCGCCACUGCACGUCAGCCUGGGCGACAGAGCGAGACUCCGUUUCAAAAAAAAAAGAAUGAUUUGUGCCUGCCAUAGCAACUAGAAAAUGAUGGUAGAGUACCCGUAAAGAAGAGAUAUAGAGGAAUAAAUACCAAAUUGUAUAAACUCUAGUCAAGUCUCUAAAGUACAUGUUUGAGACAGAUGUGAAGCAGCCCAAAAUAGGCUAAAGAUUUCAGCUGCUGUAUGUAGCAGGGAAAAAUUAAGAAUUUAAUUUCAAUCAAAUUAACUACCUGAAAAAAAAAAAAGGCUUCAGAGAAUUAUACAGAAUCCAGAACAGGAGCUUACAAAACAAUAAAACCUGGGGAUGGUAAUGUUUCAGUAUGUUCUAUGGUCUGUACCAUCUAGGCACUCAGUCACUACAGUUUUAUUCUUAGUGCAGUUUACUACAGCAAGAAUAUUUGAAUUAAAAGAAUAUGAAUUACAGUUAUACAUUCUACAGCUUUGAAUAUACAGUGCUUUACCUGAGUACUUAGAAUUUCCAUGCAAUUCUAUAAUUAUUAGUUGAAGUUAUCUUAUACCUAAGCUCUAAGCAUGUAGAAUAAUGACCCAGAACAACUUGACACCUAGCAUCUUGAAAUGCAAUCUGAUGGGGAAGACACUGAGUUAUAAAGCUCUGCAAAUUUGGGCUGACAAAAUGAGUUAUUAGUGAAAUGAGAAAAGUUCCCUUGUUCCCUUUGCAGGGCAUGCGACAGGGGGAAUGGCUCGCUUCAGUGCCCUGCUGCUCAAAGCUCUAGGGGAGAAUGCAGACGGGCAGGCUGUGGGGCUCUAACCCCACAGCAACCUCUAGGGAUGACGUCACUAAAAACCGAUGAAGCCUCCAUAACAUUGGUUCCUUACUGACGCUGAGGAGCAUGGCAAUCUUCACACCUUAACCAAUGCUAUUCAUGUAGGAUGACCAAGAAAUGAAUGUUUCUUACUGAAAUAAUACAUAUUUUGGCAUCUUUUGUUACCCAUAGACUAAUAAACUAAUCCUGGCUUAUAAAA
RNAcentral lists this long non-coding RNA (1818 nucleotides) under Homo sapiens (human). RNAcentral describes it as "HSALNT0361122". The record is from RNAcentral. Lineage: Eukaryota; Metazoa; Chordata; Mammalia; Primates; Hominidae.